GAUAACUACAACCAGCAACAUGCUGAUUUGAAUAUAGCAAUAAAUUACGUCAUGAUAGGAAUCAUUAUUUAUUUACGGGUGCCUACAUGGUCUCACCCUCAUUAGAAGGUGUCUAUGCGUGAUCUUGGUGUGACCUAUGAGCAACAUCUGGAUUCUCCAUUCAUUUUUUAUAGUAUUAGUAAUUU
Long non-coding RNA from Cimex lectularius (bed bug), 185 nucleotides. RefSeq lists it as uncharacterized. The record is from RefSeq and is a predicted model, not a curated record. NCBI's taxonomy places the organism in Eukaryota, Metazoa, Arthropoda, Insecta, Hemiptera, Cimicidae. The transcript has 3 exons.